RNAcentral lists this ribosomal RNA (1144 nucleotides) under uncultured Basidiomycota. Its description in RNAcentral is "eukaryotic LSU rRNA". The stretch from base 709 to 1144 matches the Rfam family "Eukaryotic large subunit ribosomal RNA", at positions 1 to 429 of the family's 3401-position model. The record is from RNAcentral. Lineage: Eukaryota; Fungi; Basidiomycota.
CUUGGUCAUUUAGAGGAAGUAAAAGUCGUAACAAGGUUUCCGUAGGUGAACCUGCGGAAGGAUCAUUAUCGUACCAAAUGUGUGGGGUGCGUGAUGGCUGUUGCUGAUUUCAAAAGUCGUGCACGCCGGAGCGUGUCCUCUCACAUAACACAAUCCAUCUCACCCUUUGUGCACCACCGCGUGGGCAUCCUUUUUGGGAUCAGACCGAUCUCUGAGGGGACUCGCGUUUUCACACAACAACCCCCUUUAAAAAGUGUAGAAUGACCUCAUUUAUGCAAUCAAUACAACUUUCAACAACGGAUCUCUUGGCUCUCGCAUCGAUGAAGAACGCAGCGAAAUGCGAUACGUAAUGUGAAUUGCAGAAUUCAGUGAAUCAUCGAAUCUUUGAACGCACCUUGCGCCCCUUGGUAUUCCGAGGGGCACACCCGUUUGAGUGUCGUGAAAACCUCAACCUCCUUGGUUUCUUUCUGGAGACUGAAGGAGGCUUGGACUUUGGAGGCCUUUGCUGGUGUCUCUCACCAGCUCCUCUUAAACGAAUUAGCGGGGUCCUCUUUGCCGAUCCUCGACACGUGAUAAGAUGCUUCCGUGUCUCGGUUUCUGGCUCUGUUGCUUUUGGGACCCGCUUCUAACCGUCUGGACCCUUGUGUCGAGACAAUGUUCGAGAGAUCGUCUCCCUUCUCGGGAAACCCCCUCGACCCCACGAACCCUUGGCCUCAAAUCGGGUGAGACUACCCGCUGAACUUAAGCAUAUCAAUAAGCGGAGGAAAAGAAACUAACAAGGAUUCCCCUAGUAACUGCGAGUGAAGCGGGAAAAGCUCAAAUUUAAAAUCUGGCGGCUCUUUGCCGUCCGAGUUGUAAUUUAGAGAAGCGUCUUCCGCGUCGGACCGUGCACAAGUCUCCUGGAAUGGAGCGUCAUAGAGGGUGAGAAUCCCGUCUUUGGCAUGGAUCCCCGGUGCUUCUGUGAUGCGCUCUCGAAGAGUCGAGUUGUUUGGGAAUGCAGCUCAAAAUGGGUGGUGAACUCCAUCUAAAGCUAAAUAUUGGCGAGAGACCGAUAGCGAACAAGUACCGUGAGGGAAAGAUGAAAAGCACUUUGGAAAGAGAGUGAAACAGUACGUGAAAUUGUUGAAAGGGAAACGCUUGAAGU